UAGGGGAAAAGACCACUCCAAUUACAGCAGUUUAUAAGAGAUUCUUUGAGCAUCAGCCAAAGUCUCUUGGAGUCCUACGAACUGAUGUUGUUUCAUGCAUCAGAGCAUAUGCCCAGGGGGGGCAUGUCGUUGGUCUUUGGGUUAUUCUGAAAGGGGCUUUGCUAGCACAACCAGUUUACAGAACUCAAAGAGCUGUUAAUGGAUAUCAGACAACUCUUUCCAUCAUCAUAACAUUAGCAGUGUUUCAAUAAAAUCUUACUUCAUUCAUCUUCCUUGUUUUCUUGGCUACCUCCUCCCUUG
This 300-nucleotide long non-coding RNA is filed under the name Elaeis guineensis (African oil palm). Its description in RNAcentral is "long non-coding RNA (EGUI_LNC016103)". Lineage: Eukaryota; Viridiplantae; Streptophyta; Magnoliopsida; Arecales; Arecaceae. The record is from RNAcentral.